UACGUAGGGCGCGAGCGUUAAUCGGAAUUACUGGGCGUAAAGCGUGCGCAGGCGGUUUUGUAAGCCAGAUGUGAAAUCCCCGGGCUUAACCUGGGAAUGGCAUUUGGGACUGCAAGGCUCGAGUGCGGCAGAGGAGACUGGAAUUCCUGGUGUAGCAGUGAAAUGCGUAGAUAUCAGGAGGAACACCGAUGGCGAAGGCAGGUCUCUGGGCUGACACUGACGCUCAUGCACGAAAGCGUGGGGAGCAAACAGG
This 253-nucleotide ribosomal RNA is filed under the name uncultured bacterium. Its description in RNAcentral is "partial 16S ribosomal RNA". It matches the Rfam family "Bacterial small subunit ribosomal RNA", at positions 524 to 776 of the family's 1533-position model. The record is from RNAcentral.